CUCGGUUACGGAGACAUGGUCCCUUCAACGAUAAUGGGUAAAAUAGUGGGAGGAAUAUGUUCAUUAUCCGGAGUGUUGGUCAUUGCUCUGCCCGUUCCCGUCAUCGUCAGCAAC
Caenorhabditis remanei is the source of this 114-nucleotide non-coding RNA. Lineage: Eukaryota; Metazoa; Nematoda; Chromadorea; Rhabditida; Rhabditidae. The record is from Rfam.